UACAGAGGGUGCAAGCGUUGUUCGGAAUUAUUGUGCGUAAAGCGCGUGUAGGCGGCUUUGCAAGUCGGGUGUGAAAGCCCUCAGCUCAACUGAGGAAGUGCGCCCGAAACUGCAGAGCUUGAGUGCCGGAGAGGGUGGCGGAAUUCCCCAAGUAGAGGUGAAAUUCGUAGAUAUGGGGAGGAACACCGGUGGCGAAGGCGGCCACCUGGACGGUAACUGACGCUGAGACGCGAAAGCGUGGGGAGCAAACAGG
RNAcentral lists this ribosomal RNA (253 nucleotides) under uncultured bacterium. Its description in RNAcentral is "partial 16S ribosomal RNA". It matches the Rfam family "Bacterial small subunit ribosomal RNA", at positions 524 to 776 of the family's 1533-position model. The record is from RNAcentral.